GACGAACGCUGGCGGCGUGCCUAAUACAUGCAAGUAGGACGCACAGUCUAUACCGUAGCUUGCUACACCAUAGGCUGUGAGUUGCGAACGGGUGAGUAACGCGUAGGUAACCUGCCUAUUAGAGGGGGAUAACUAUUGGAAACGAUAGCUAAUACCGCAUAACAGUAUGUAACACAUGUUAGAUGCUUGAAAGAUGCAAUUGCAUCGCUAGUAGAUGGACCUGCGUUGUAUUAGCUAGUAGGUAGGGUAAUGGCCUACCUAGGCGACGAUACAUAGCCGACCGGAGAGGGUGAUCGGCCACACUGGGACUGAGACACGGCCCAGACUCCUACGGGAGGCAGCAGUAGGGAAUCUUCGGCAAUGGGGGGAACCCUGACCGAGCAACGCCGCGUGAGUGAAGAAGGUUGUCGGAUCGUAAAGCUCUGUUGUUAAGGAAGAACGAGUGUGAGAAUGGAAAGUUCAUACUGUGACGGUACUUAACCAGAAAGGGACGGCUAACUACGUG
RNAcentral lists this ribosomal RNA (505 nucleotides) under uncultured bacterium. Its description in RNAcentral is "partial 16S ribosomal RNA". It matches the Rfam family "Bacterial small subunit ribosomal RNA", at positions 28 to 507 of the family's 1533-position model. The record is from RNAcentral.